GAUCAUGGCACAGGACGAACGCUGGCGGCAUGCCUAACACAUGCAAGUCGAACGGGGGUAGCAAUACCCUAGUGGCAAACGGGUGAGUAACACAUAAGCAAUCUGCCCUUCACAGGGGGAUAACAGCGGGAAACUGCUGCUAAUACCGCAUAAGACCACAGUACCGCAUGGUACAGGGGUAAAAACGAAUCAGUGGUGAAGGAUGAGCUUAUGUCCCAUUAGCUAGUUGGUGAGAUAACAGCCCACCAAGGCGACGAUGGGUAGCCGACCUGAGAGGGUGAUCGGUCACACUGGAACUGAGACACGGUCCAGACUCCUACGGGAGGCAGCAGGUGGGGAAUAUUGGGCAAUGGAGGAAACUUCCUUACCCAGCAAUGCCGCGUGAGUGAAGAAGGUCUUCGGAUUGUAAAGCUCUUUGAUUGGGGACGAAGAAAGUGACGGUACCCAAAGAACAAGCCACGGCUAACUACGUGCCAGCAGCCGC
This 484-nucleotide ribosomal RNA is filed under the name uncultured bacterium. RNAcentral describes it as "bacterial SSU rRNA". It matches the Rfam family "Bacterial small subunit ribosomal RNA", at positions 15 to 518 of the family's 1533-position model. The record is from RNAcentral.